CCUACGGGAGACAGCAGUGAGGAAUAUUGGUCAAUGGACGAGAGUCUGAACCAGCCAAGUAGCGUGAAGGAUGACUGCCCUAUGGGUUGUAAACUUCUUUUAUAUGGGAAUAAAAUGUUCCACGUGUGGGAUUUUGUAUGUACCAUAUGAAUAAGGAUCGGUUAACUCCGUGACAGCAGCCGCGGUACUACGGAGGAACCGAGCGUUAUCCGGAUUGAUUGGGUUUAAAGGGUGCGUAGGUGGAUUGUUAAGUCAGUUGUGAAAGUUUGCGGCUCAACCGUAAAAUUGCAGUUGAAACUGGCAGUCUUGAGUACAGUAGAGGUGGGCGGAAUUCGUGGUGUAGCGGUGAAAUGCUUAGAUAUCACGAAGAACUCCGAUUGCGAAGGCAGCUCACUGGACUGCAACUGACACUGAGGCUCGAAAAUGUGGGUAUCAAACAGGAUUAGAUACCCGUGUAGUC
This 460-nucleotide ribosomal RNA is filed under the name uncultured bacterium. RNAcentral's name for it is "partial 16S ribosomal RNA". It matches the Rfam family "Bacterial small subunit ribosomal RNA", at positions 338 to 795 of the family's 1533-position model. The record is from RNAcentral.